This 492-nucleotide ribosomal RNA is filed under the name uncultured bacterium. RNAcentral's name for it is "partial 16S ribosomal RNA". It matches the Rfam family "Bacterial small subunit ribosomal RNA", at positions 29 to 507 of the family's 1533-position model. The record is from RNAcentral.
AGUGAACGCUGGCGGUAGGCCUAACACAUGCAAGUCGAACGGCAGCACAGUAAGAGCUUGCUCUUACGGGUGGCGAGUGGCGGACGGGUGAGGAAUACAUCGGAAUCUACUUUUUCGUGGGGGAUAACGAAGGGAAACUUACGCUAAUACCGCAUACGACCUACGGGUGAAAGCAGGGGAUCUUCGGACCUUGCGCGAUUGAAUGAGCCGAUGUCGGAUUAGCUAGUUGGCGGGGUAAAGGCCCACCAAGGCGACGAUCCGUAGCUGGUCUGAGAGGAGGAUCGCCGACACUAGAACGGAGACAGGGACCAGACUACUAAGAGAGGGAGCAGUGUGGAAUAUUAGACAACGGGCGCAAGUAUGAUCCAGCCAGAGCGAGUGGGAGGAGACGACCCUCGGUUUGUAAAGCCCGUUUGUUGGGAAUGAAAAGCAGCAGGUUGAUACCAAGCUGAUCUGACGGUACCCAAAGAAUAAGCACCGGCUAACUUCGUG